This is a long non-coding RNA of Aegilops tauschii subsp. strangulata, 2392 nucleotides long. RefSeq lists it as uncharacterized. The record is from RefSeq and is a predicted model, not a curated record. Lineage: Eukaryota; Viridiplantae; Streptophyta; Magnoliopsida; Poales; Poaceae.
UGGAAUCCUAUUCCUAUGAAGGAAUUCUUCCUAUCCUCCACAUUUCAUAGGAAAAUAAACAUUAGCCUAGACUCAAUAAAAAAAAAUCCUAUGAUGUGAAUCAAAGGGUAUCUCCUUUCCUAUUCCUACUCAUAGGAUUUGAGAUACAUGUCAUCUCAUUUCCUAUGACUUUCCUAUUGCUAUGAUUUUCAUACACUAUGAACCAAAGAAGGCCUUACACUUUCACAGUCACAGUUACUCUUUCCCGAUCCCCUUUUUCCUUUACUCCGUUGACUCCAAAAUUGCUCCCACCAGAUGAGCUUGGUCGUCCUCAUGCGCAGCCACGGCAGCGGGUCGACUCGUUUGUGCUGCCGCAGGGUGACCAUCUAUGGUGGCUGGUUUGGCUCGUACAACUCCUUGAUCUCCUAGCAGGGUCCAAGGAGCAGCUGCGCAAGGGAGUAUGCGAAAUCAUGGUGUCUGUGCAGUUGAUUUUGGCGUGGAUUUCGUCUCCCGCAGCUAGAUUGGAUCCAACUCGAGUAAUAGGAUGCAGGCAACGGUGUGUUCCCUAGGUGCGAGGCAGACACAUCGUUUCUAUUCCCGGUCGAUGCAGCCCGGCACGUUGUCCUCCUCCUCCAGCCUGAAUAUUCUUCCAAAUUCGAACUUCGACUUGCAGAAAGAACGGCCACGCGGAUCCGGUUGGUGACAUGACUAUUCUUGGAAUAUAUACUAUUUCUCCCACAAUGUGUUCCUGAUAUUAUCUGUGCUUCGACGGAAUUUCUUCCACAUGAGGUCCUAUUGUUAUCCAUUUAUCAUUUAUCUUUUACUGUACUUUUUAUGAUCAGCCACUUUUUACAAAAAUAAUCUGUAUCAUUUUUUCGGCAUUUUUAUCAUGUUGCUUUGUAAUAUAUAUUUUUCUUUAGAAGAGUUACAAACAAUAUUAAAACCUGAAAACAGAUGACACAUUAGACAUGGGCAGCUAUUGAUGCUUGUACGGACAUGUUAGUCUAAACUUCAAAGAAUAUAAGUUAUACCAUGAAAACAGUGCCUGUGACAUUCACCUAACCUACCCGAAUGUUUCCUCUGUUUGUAAAUAUGAGGUAUAUUUCUUGCCUCAAACAGAUCAUAUUUCCCAUUUUCUUACAAAAUAAGAGUCCUGUUCCUUGUAUGCCCUAUUAUAUAUAUAGGUGCAAUGUAGUCACUAUGGGGGUAGCAGGGACAGUUUCCAUAUUUAGUCAUCAAUGGAUUAGGGACGGAUUGUAACACAUGACAAUACUGAGCUAGCUAAAUUACCAUGUAGACCCUCUGCCUAUUUUCUCAUUGUUGUUAUUUAUAGAAAACAGAACUGACUUACCAUAGUGAAGUGCUGACUUUGAGCAGUAAAAGUUGUCGGUUGGUGCAUGCUGUUAGGUUGAUCUCUUUCCGUGUGGGCCCAACGGCCCACCGGGCCCCUGAUCCGCGCCCUGAUCGGGGGCGCCCAACCACAAUAUGGUUGACGGGCCCCUGUCACGCAGCGCUACAUAAAGAGGUGGGGGCCGGCGGCACGCAGUACGAGGUUCACCGCGUUGCCAGUCUCCCCACCGAAAACCCCGACCCGAUCUAGGUCUAGCGCUGACAGUGACGGGAAGCUCCGCCGCCACUGCCUACACAUCGCCGCCACCUCCACCUUGCCCACUCUCCGCCAUCGCCGUGCGCUCCAGCACCACGAUGGCUUCCAGCUCGAGUUCGUCUUCUGCUGCACAAGAACAGCAGGAUUAUGGAUAGUUCCGAGAAGAGCGCCUCCCGAUCAUGGCUAUCAAUACUCUCGUUGUACUCGUCAAGUCCAACAUCCUAGUGCUAUAUCUCGGUCGGUGUCAAGGAAAUUUUCAACCUGGCCUGAUGGAUGAAGGUGUUUCCUACUUCUGUAUCUCUAUGGUGAUCAAGACUCAGUGAUCCAUGACAUGUAGGAUUUUGGUUCACUGCUCUCACAAAAAGGGGUAAACAUGCAUGGCGUGCCAUAAAUGGGUCUGGUUUGCAGGGAAGCAUUUUGUUGUCUGGCCAUUACUAUUGUCGUCACCUAUACAAAUCGGAACUGACCUGACAUGCUCGUCAUUCAUGGGUGAUUGUUGUCAUUAGCUCCACCCUUAUCAGCUUACCAAAUCUGAAGCCUCGCUUCUCUCCUGGAUUUGCAUGUUGGUGGAUGGAUGUAUGCGUUCAGCAAAGCACAGAGGCAGAAGACCACCAGCCCAAUCUUGACUCACAAAAAUCUGCAUAGGCACAACUCCAUUAUGCAUUACAAUAUGACAGCAUGCUUUAGCCUCAUCAAUCUUUGUAAAGUUUGUGGAUGGACAUUUAGUUUGUUUUGAUAACUAAAGGGGAAAACCUUUGGCGACAUGAGAGCAAAGCGAGGGAUAAAGGAUUACAUUGUAUUGCACUA